This 412-nucleotide ribosomal RNA is filed under the name fungal sp. EXP0413F. RNAcentral describes it as "eukaryotic LSU rRNA". The stretch from base 119 to 272 matches the Rfam family "5.8S ribosomal RNA". The record is from RNAcentral. Lineage: Eukaryota; Fungi.
GGAUCAUUACAGAGAAUGUCGUAAGACAAACUCCCGUUCUUGUUUUUGCCCCAUUGCCUUGCCUUCGGGCAGCAUUUAAUUCUGAAUCAGUGUUGUCUGAGUAUUAUUUAAAAGUUAAAACUUUCAACAACGGAUCUCUUGGUUCUGGCAUCGAUGAAGAACGCAGCGAAAUGCGAUAAGUAAUGUGAAUUGCAGAAUUCAGUGAAUCAUCGAAUCUUUGAACGCACAUUGCGCCCUCUGGUAUUCCGGAGGGCAUGCCUGUUCGAGCGUCAUUACACCCUCAAGCCUCGCUUGGUGUUGGGAGCUGCCUGCGCACUCCUCAAAAACAGUGGUGACGGCUGAUCAACUCACGCGUAGUAAUACUUCACGACGAUGAGAUCAGUCUCCCCCAGAAAGCCUCUUGUUUGACCUC